UGAGUACGAGCGGCUACGGCCGCGAAGUGGAUGAUGUCAAGCUUCCAAGAAAAGCCCUAUACCCGUUAAGGCAUGAUGGCCUGUACCCGAAACCGACACAGGUGGGGUGGUAGAGAAUACCGAGGGGCGCGAGGUAACUCUCUCUAAGGAACUCGGCAAAAUGGCCCCGUAACUUCGGGAGAAGGGGUGCCACCGCGAGGUGGUCGCAGUGAAGAGGCUCAGGCGACUGUUUACCAAAAACACAGGUCUCCGCUAAGUCGCAAGACGAUGUAUGGGGGCUGACGCCUGCCCAGUGCCGGAAGGUUAAGGAAGCUGGUCAGCGCAAGCGAAGCUGGCGACUGAAGCCCCGGUGAACGGCGGCCGUAACUAUAACGGUCCUAAGGUAGCGAAAUUCCUUGUCGGGUAAGUUCCGACCCGCAUGAAAGGCGUAACGAUCUGGGCGCUGUCUCGGAGAGAGGCUCGGCGAAAUAGAAUUGUCUGUGAAGAUGCGGACUACGUGCACCCGGACAGAAAGACCCUAUGAAGCUUUACUGUAGCUUGGUAUUGUGCUCGGGCUCGGAAUGCGCAGGAUAGGUGGGAGGCUUUGAUCCAUUGCUUGCGGGCGAUGGUGAGCCACUGGUGAGAUACCACUCUUUCCGAGCUAGAGUUCUAACAGCAACCCGUUAUCCGGGUGCUGGACGGUAUCAGGUGGGCAGUUUGACUGGGGCGGUCGCCUCCUAAAAGGUAACGGAGGCGCGCAAAGGUCUGCUCAGGCUGGUUGGAAAUCAGCCGACGAGUGUAAAAGCAGAAGCAGGCUUGACUGUGAGACCUACAAGUCGAACAGGGAGGAAACUCGGCUUUAGUGAUCCGACGGUUCUGCGUGGAAGGGCCGUCGCUCAACGGAUAAAAGUUACUCUAAGGAUAACAGGCUGAUCUCCCCCAAGAGUUCACAUCGACGGGGAGGUUUGGCACCUCGAUGUCGGCUCAUCGCAACCUGGGGCUGAAGUCGGUCCCAAGGGUUGGGCUGUUCGCCCAUUAAAGCGGUACGCGAGCUGGGUUCAGAACGUCGUGAGACAGUUCGGUCCAUAUCCGGUGCACGCGCAGGAAUAUUGAGAGGAUUUCUCCCUAGUACGAGAGGACCGGGAGGAACGCACCUCUGGUGUGCCAGUUAUCGUGCCAACGGUAAACGCUGGGUAGCCAUGUGCGGAGUGGAUAACCGCUGAAAGCAUCUAAGUGGGAAGCCCACCUCAAGAUGAGUAUUCCCAUGGCAUAAGCCAGUAAGGUCACGGGAAGAACACCCGUUGAUAGGCUCUACGUGGAAGCGCAGUAAUGUGUGAAGCGGAGGAGUACUAAUAGACCGAGGGCUUGACC
This 1350-nucleotide ribosomal RNA is filed under the name metagenome. Its description in RNAcentral is "bacterial LSU rRNA". It matches the Rfam family "Bacterial large subunit ribosomal RNA", at positions 1564 to 2925 of the family's 2925-position model. The record is from RNAcentral.